GUUUUUAUGAAAUAUUUUAAACUAAGCAAUAAAAUGUAAACAAAGAAGAAGGAAUCAGAUUAUUUAUCUAAUUUAUAAAUUCAUCUAUUCAAAAUACAAAACUCCACAGAGUGCAGCUCCAAAAGUUACUUUACAGACAAUAACUAUAGAAAACCCUUCAUUUGAACCCGGAGACCAUCAAUGACAUCAUGAACCAGGAAGUGCUGGGCUGGCCCCGCCCACACACCUGUCCUGAAUGCGGGAUCUGAACAAAGGAACAAACCAAGGUGAGUUUAUGCUAACAAACAUAAACAGAAAUCAUUUACCAGAAAUGUUCCUUCAGAAGAAGGAAAACUCAAACGAACAUGAGAUUGAAUAAUAUUUGUACUUGGAUGGAAACUGUGACAUAAAACCAGGAAAGUCUCUAACUUUCUCACAUUCAGUAACAAACGUCUGCUUAAAGCUGAUUCCUAAAACUGGCACCUUCUUAACUUUAUCCUUAUGCUUCCUUUACAAUUAUUUUUAUUUGACUUUUAAUCUUCCUGAAAAAUAUUCUGGGAAAUGCCUUGCAGAAGUAUUUACACCCUUCAAGCUUUUUUCACAACCUGUCAAAACACCUCAGUGGCUUGUUGAGGAUUUAGUUUGACAGACUGACACGAAGCAUGAUAAUGACGUGAGAGAAGAAAAGCUGCUUGGUUUUGUUUAAUUAAUCCCAUGUGUGUUUUUAAAACUCAGAUUAUUUUCAGAUGUUCUGUUUCUGGUUUGAUGGAGAACCCGGCUGCUGGUCGUUGUGCAUUAAUUUAAAUCUGGGUUCGGUUCCACAGUUUGUCUGCUGCCAUCCAUCUGAGACUCGCUAGAGACGGCCAGCCCUGGAUGCUGUCCGCACCAGAACACGCGGGGAGUUUCACCCGACAGACGCCGAGGACUUCAGGGAGGCUCUGAAGAUCCAAUGCAUUGACAUGCAGACAGCUUGGCGGUAAAGUCCACAUCCUCCCAGUUAAAGCUGAACUCAUCUCUGAAGUCUAAGCUUUCGAGGUGUCAAUAAACCCAGAAACAUGGAGGAGGGGCAGCGCAGAUGUGAAAAGCAUCAAAGUGCAUCAACUGGAGGCGAAAGACAAGGAUGGAGAGAUGAGAAACCCAAAGAGACAGCUGGAUGGAGAAGGCAAACAAACAGCAGGCUGGAGGUAAAGUCACACAAACGGCAGAAUGUCAACCAGCAGCUCAGAAAAACCCGACUUAAUCACAUCUUCCCUGAAGCUUGUGGAUAGAAGUGGAGUCAAAAAUAAGCUCCUCGUGAUCAUCUCCAGCCAGGGGAGAGCAUGCUGCGUUUAUUCUCAGACAUGCUUUGGGUCCAAAUUACUUCUGCUCCAGAACAGAACAGAACAGCAGAGCGGAUCACAACCUGCUGCAGUCUGCACUCCUAUCAGCUGCACAUCAGAGGAACGUUCCAAAUGUGCAACAAAGUCUGACACAGCAGGUUCAACUCAACUGGAUUUAAAAAGAAAAGCUCAAAAUUAUGUUCAUAAUUUUCAUGUUCUUUCAUGUACAUGAUCUGGAAACUCUUCAUCUUCUUGCUCAAAUCUAAAUAUGAACUAAAUUAUAUUGUUCUGAUUUUGUAGAAAUAAAUAAAAUAGAAAAUAUUUUUUCUUGCAAAAA
Poecilia latipinna (sailfin molly) is the source of this 1635-nucleotide long non-coding RNA. RefSeq lists it as uncharacterized. Lineage: Eukaryota; Metazoa; Chordata; Actinopteri; Cyprinodontiformes; Poeciliidae. The record is from RefSeq and is a predicted model, not a curated record. The transcript is spliced from 2 exons.